This is a long non-coding RNA of Aedes albopictus (Asian tiger mosquito), 942 nucleotides long. RefSeq lists it as uncharacterized. The record is from RefSeq and is a predicted model, not a curated record. NCBI's taxonomy places the organism in Eukaryota, Metazoa, Arthropoda, Insecta, Diptera, Culicidae. The transcript has 2 exons.
GGGCGACACAUCUAAAUCUUCGAACAGAUGUUUACGAAGAUGCAUGCACCUUUUUAGAUAAGUGUGCUACUGCCAGAUUUUCGCAUCUACUUUGCACUGCAUCCACUUUCAAAUCCUGCUGAGCGCUGCUUUGAGAUAGGAGGAGAUGUGAAUGGAUCGUAUGUAGAUAAGCGAAGGCCAGUCAAGUACAGAAUGUGAAAAGGGUUUAAUUGUUUUUUACAAAAAUAAAGUUCUGGCAUUUUCUCAACUUUUUAGACUUUAUCCACGCAAACUAAGCCCACAUGCACAAAUUGUUUAUCAGAGCAUUUAUCUACAUUUUGUCUAUGCUCAAUUGCGUUAUUAUAUCAAAAGCACCGCAAAAGAAAAAUGUAUGUGAGCUUGUACAAAAAAAAAGUUAGGCUCUUUUUAAAUGUUUGUUUUUGUGCAAAUGUAAAUAAUGCGUUUAUUUAAAUUGUUGAAAUUUUUUAUUCCAAAAUAUCGGGAAACUUUCCAUUAUCUCCGACCAGUAAAACCUCCAGCAACUUCUUCUGGAAAAUUGUAGUGAUUUCGUGCCCGAGAACGCUCCAGCUACCCCUUCCGGUAAAUGCUCCAGCAGUGCUUUCUGGUCGGGGAACUCUGCAGUUUUUAAUUUUCGAGUAUGCUGAGGAAUCCCAGAGAAAUUCUCGACGCAACUGCAGUGCUUCCUGAAGGAACUGAUAGAUUUUCACUCCGGAACUCCGAAAUGAGUUCAUUGAAGCAUCUCUGAGCAGAUAUUCUUACUGAAUUUCCGGGAGAAAUAUAUGUAGGCGUCAUCUUUGAACAUAAUUCCUGAAAGAAACCCCGGUAAUAGUUCCAGGGCUUUGUGCUGAGCUGAGAACUUUUUUUUAAUCUAUAAACAAACUGUAGGAAUUAGUUGGACAAAAGUUUGUAAUAAAUUGAUAAAAAUACAUAACGGAAUUCUGA